GUGAUCAAGCGAUUGCCAAAGUUUAUUGCUGAUACAUCUGAUUAUAUAGUUACAUUGCUCUGUUAGCUAAGUGUCAUACACCCGGAUACAACAAUUUCAUUGCUCCUCCCAAAAAGUCUAACAUGCUUAUUUGCUAAAUACCAUGGUUUACUUGCUAAAUAUUGCAUAUCUGUCACCAUCCUUAAAACCUUCUGCGUUUUGUAAUUUCACGUCCUGUUCUUUCUUUCAAUGGAAAGUUUCAACACAACUGUUACUUCUUUACACAUAGUUUUAGUUCCUUAUACAUAGCAUUAGUUCCUUAUACAUAGCUCUAGCUGCUCUUGCUAAGUCCUUGCGGUUUCUGCUCGCACUUCCUUAUGCAUAGCCUUAGCUGCUCUUGCUAAAUAACCCUAUAGUUGCCAAAAGACCUAAGCUCUGCUUCAAGCAAUAGUUCUGCCCAUUGAUCUGUGGCCUCUGCUCACCUCCGUUACCAGCCUGUCCACAAAUCCCCCUUUUUGUUUUUGAGCGGAGGCACUUACGCCUCGUCCUCAUAUACAUGUCCAUUUUUCAUCAUGAAUGUAUUGAUGAUGCCAUCCGAUGUAGGCAACUGUUGUACUAACCAGAUUUUGGAUAUUGUUUUUGCCAUUAACUUCUUCCCACAAGCAAAGAUUCCACAAAUAAUACAAAAAAGAACUACAAGGGUUAAUAAUAGUUGCAGUAAGCUAUAUAUCAGCGGUUUUAACCACCCACUAAUUCCCAGGUUCUUCAGCCAAUCAUCCAGUCCGGUCUCAAUUCGAAUCUUGUCAACAUUCUCUCGUAGCUCUUGGAUCUUUGCAUGUAUCGAUUUCGAAUGAUCAGAUAAAUUAAAACAACACAUUCCAUCAAAAUCAUUACAACCAUGUCCAUUUGCUAACAAAAGAAAAUCUAUAGCCGCGUGAUUUUGUAAAAUAGCUUUACGAUUACUAUCAACAUCUUUCAUUAGGUCGGUACAGAUUUCUGAGGUGAGGUUAGCUUGUUUCGCAGCCCAACAUGCCAAUUUUUGCAGAUUUGCCUUAGCAAUUGUAGAUGCACAGCCAGGACAAAAUAUGCUGGCCAACAGAUUUUCAGCCUUCCCUAUAAGUGAUAUUGAAUCAUCACAUGUUGAUGACAAGGUGUGUAAUUCUCGUUUAGUUCGAGUUCUAUUUUUGUUUUUUGAAAAGUUCUACAGAGGAUGCUAGUAGACUAAGUCUUCCUAAAUAACACGGUCCCCCAAGCGGAGAUUUUGGGAUGCCCUGCCAGGCACGAUCACCACAAAUCAAAAAGACUCCCUUAGGUAAAGCUAACGACAUGUUUGUGAAUAGUUCAUGUCGACCAGACUCUUUGAGCCCCACAGCUCCCCCACACCAUGCUCGGGUCUCGGAGGCGUUUCGUAUCCCAUAUAUACCCGACCCAGAUACAUCGGUCCAUACCUCAAGUGCCUGGCAUUGCACACCGCUCUCAGAGCUUACACACCUCAUUCUAACCGGGGUAUCAAUUAUAUUAGCGCUAAAGCCAUCUUUAGUUCCAUUUAUGGAUCCUGCUAGCUGCAAUUCCUGUGGAUCCUAUGGUAACGUUUUAUUCAAGUGCUGAAUUAAUAACACAGACAUCCAGGCUUGUGUCCGGUUGGCGAUAUUACUUUUGACACAGCCUCCACACCACACCUGCUUAUUAGAGGCCGGUUUUGACCGGCAUUGUGUUCGAAUAUGACCCAAUUUUCCACAAUUAUAGCAUCUCUUAUCUCUAGUUUUCCCCCCUUUCUUCUGUGAAAAGGUUGAACAGCAGCAGCGAAUGCCUCAGCCAUAUAAGCACUUUUUGCUUAUGCCCCAUACGCUCCACUGCCUCAAGCAGCUGAGCAGCAGACGUUCCCCUUGGCAACGUACUCAGAAUUUGUUUUGUCUGAUCAUUGGCCCCAUCAAAAGCCACAAUAUCUAAUAAUUUUCCCUUCAUUUCAUCACUCAAAUCGGGAUGUUUUCUUAAUGCGUCAAGCAGUCUAUCAAUAAAUUGUUGGUAAGAUUCUGUUGAACCCUGCUUAACAGACAAGAAACCCGGAGCAGUUUUUCAUCAGGUAGGGCAUACCAAGCUUUCAACGCUUGCUCCUGGGACAAGGCUAAAACCGCCGUUGGCAAAUUAGCUUGCGUCUGCGGGUCGUCAUAUUGAGCUUUUCCUAACAAAACAUCGGCUAUUACUCCAAACAACGGAUCUCCUGGCUGGCGAGGCUGACUAGCAACCCUUUGGCAGGCUAGAUCCCACUUAUUAAAAAACCACAGCUGCAAAUGCGGAACAAGCAGCGACUGGGCAAGCAACCGAAUAUCAUACGGCAUUAAGAUAUAUGCUGAAAAUAUGUGAGCAAUUAUGGCCUGAGUAUAAGAUGACUUCAGGCCAUAGGUGCUCACAGCUUGUUGGGCCUCCUUGACUAUUUUUAAGUCUAGUGCCUCCCAUUCUUUUGCCCCCUGCACCGUAGUAAACACUGGAUAAGCGGAGGGCCCCAUAUCAGUAAAUUCCCCAUCAAUUAUUGCAUCCCGAAUGAACCCGCGCCAACGAUGUGCCGGAUUAUUACUCCCGUCAGAUCCCACGGACCCAUCCCCACUAAGCCCCCCUUUCAAAAAGGGGUUAGAAGAGGGUGGAGCCGAUUUGCCCCGCUGCUUUGCCGCCGGCUUCCAAGGCUGCCAGCCUUUGUAGGAUGGAUUGAUGUUUGUCCCCUGAGCCUGCAACCAGAUGUUGGUGAGCCGAGCAAACCGAUUGAUCAGAUUCAGAGUCAGAAUCAGGGAGUGGAGGAUACAAGUCCGGCUCAGCCGCCGGAGAGUCCGGACCCGGAUCCGGUUUGGACUCUGGGUCCCCUUCCUCUGGGUCCGGGGCAUGAGCAGCCACUUCUGUCGUCUGCAAUGCAUUCUGCAGAUGGCGACGGAGUUUUCCCUUGCCUGCUGUUUGUGUUGACUGUUUCAGAAUCAUCCCAGGCACAACAGGAGGAGCAAACGCCAUAGCUGUGGCAUCUGCUCCUGAACCUGACUGUUCCGAAGAGGGCGCAGUGGCCAUAAGUACAGAAGCCACGGCCGUUCGCUCUGAUUUCAUCUCUUUCAAGGUCUCUAACAUCAACCGCCACAAAGUGGAGUGUUUCUGUGCAUCUUUUUCCCUUUGCUGAUCUCAUCCCACAGCGCUUGUCCUAUACGCUCCCAUUCAGAAAUUGCAAAUGCUGCCUGCACCGUGGGGAUAAAGCCACGAUCACGGGACCUAUUUUAACAGCCUAUUUUAACAGCCUCUGUAAGGCGGCACUGUCAUAUUGCAACCCUCUCUUAGAGAGAAUAUGUUGGAGGAGCUUCACCACUGCCUGUUCCUCUUUGGAUAGCGAGUGCCUCAUCUCCUCCCCGGCCGCUCACCUGAUCCGGGUGAGAUUUCCGAAGUUUUGCAGGUACCUGACUGUCGUCCAGCACCGGGGCAGUGCUGAUGUCGACCGGCUCUCCGCCCCCUCUUUUUCGUCGGCUUGUCAGACUCAUCCGUACGAAUCGCCGACCCGAGGGUCCCUGUUCAGGCGUCACUUGUAGACGUGGGAGUCACGGACAACGCAGAGACGAUCAAUGUGAUCAAGCGAUUGCCA
Long non-coding RNA from Strigops habroptila (Kakapo), 3589 nucleotides. The record is from Ensembl. Lineage: Eukaryota; Metazoa; Chordata; Aves; Psittaciformes; Psittacidae.